GUUUCAACAUGCUUAUGAUAGAGAGAGCAGUUUGGGGGAUUUUGCUAAUGAGCUCACUGAUUACACUCAGUAAGUCGACUAAACUGAACGUUCUCAAGUUGCUGUUACCUCUCAGCACUCGUGUGCCUGUGAACAUCACACUGACAGCACAGAGAGUAUGCUACAAAUGGGUGUCCUCUAAGCCUGAGACUGUCAGGGUGUAUCCGCUCUCCGCACACAGUCCUCCGGCUCUGCUGCCCCUCUCCUCCUGCAGUCAGCAGUGCUUGGUGUCAGCUCUGUCCUCCCCCCAGGCUGUCCCUCUCCAUACUGUGGUCCAGGCUCAAGACCCUGAGGUCACUCUGUCUGAGGAGGGAUACGGCCUGGUUGUGGACAGAUACAAGGGCAUCAUCUCUGUUGAGCGGGAAACAGCUACUGUCACCGCCCUCAAGCCAGGUCAUGCGACACUAACGGUUACACACAACAGUAUCCAACACAACUGUGUUUUUCAAUGAAACAUUAUGUUGUGGGGCAUAUGAGUGUAUUGUUAUGAUUCCAAGCUCAAUUGUGAUUCAGAUCUGCCCCCUGAAAUAACGUCCCAACUCCCUCGCACUUCUGUAUAUGUGGUGAAGCCCAGGUAUAUGAGUGAGUUACACACAAAACACACAGAAAAUAUAUUAAACCACACACCUGUAUUAAGGUUUAGUUACAUUUGUCUGUGUGUCUCAGCGUUGAGUAUUGAGGAGGGAGAGGAAAGAUGGGUGUUGGAGACAGGGCGGCAGUAUUAUUUGACUGUUCGUAUCCAUGGCAACAAGGCCCAUGUUGUUCACCUGUCACAGGUUGUGCUUCAUAGUCAUCGGUUUAUGCACUGUUUGCUUCACUGCAUUUCUUGACAGGAGCAUAGCGUCUGAACUUUAACCCUGUGCAGAAUGUGAUGAUUGUUGUGGAGGAGACUGAGGGAUUAGUGACACUUCAGUCUUUGUCUGAUCCUGCCUGCCAUCUCCUUCAGACCAUCAUGAAAGGAAAGACUUUAAAACAGGCCUUACUUUAUAGCAUCGUCUCUGAGGAUGGAGAGGAUUGGCCUGUCAUCCCACCAAUCAGAGUGCGAAAGGAAGUGGAAAUCUACAGCCCUCUUACUCUGCAGCCCUCUGUGAUUGUGUUUCCAUGGCAACCCUAAAAUAAGGUGUACCAGUACAAUAUAUUUAGGUACCAUUAAGAACAAUAUUCUUAUCUGUGUAUGUUGAAGCAUAAUGACCGUUUGAUAUAAUAUAAUCUGAGUUGCCAGGUGGAAGGAGGAAGUGGCUCUGUGAUGUGGGAAGUGUCUGAUAGAGAAAUUGCCACAGUUACAGUAAAAGGGGUGGUCAUAGCAGGAAAGAGGAGGGGCCAGGCUGAAAUUCAGGUUUCAGAUUCCAAAAACAUCCUGCACAAAGUAGUCAGGAAGGGUGAUGGUCGUGAGGCCUGCCCGGUUGCAGCUGAUUCCCCAGGGGGGCGUUUGUUGUGUGGGGGACAGGAUAGACAUUCCCUUUGCUCUCUGGGGCAUUCAGGACCCACCAAACACUUGCUCUCAGACAAAUUAUGUCUUUGAUACACAUUUGUACACUCACAGGAGCAUCACUGCAAAUUCUCAGGCAAACUUGUUCUCUGAAACACACCAUCUUCAAUGCGGCGAGUCUCUACUGGAGGAUAGAAAUCUUGUGUUAGUCACAGACUGCUCUCAGCUCUCUCUACACGUCCAAACUGAACCUGCCGGCUUCUUCACACGCAUGCCAGGAUCUCUGUCUCCAGGUGCUGGAUUCUCUUUCACGGGGGCACACUGUUGUUACCAUCACAGUGGAAACAGAGGGAUGCAACAUCAGUGAGACGACAACACUGGUGGCCUACAGCCCUCCCAAAUUUCUUGCGCCUGAGGUUCUUCUCUCAGUGGGCUCCUCUUGUGUGGUUAUAUUCGAGGGUGGGCUUCGUCCCUGGCUCCCGGCUACCUUCCGUUUCUUUAGUGACGUCGAGGUGCAGCCAGAGGGGGGUGUUACCAUGGAGGCUCUGCGUCCGACUGCAGCAAGGCCACCUAAACAUGCGUAUCAGGUCAUGUGCACUGCCGUAGGAGAACAGGGACACGGGGCCAGUGGACAAGUACAGUGUGGGAUUUCAUGUGACUGGCCUGACAGUGGGCGUGGUCAGUCUCCGCCUCUCAGCAGUGGAUGGACAUGGGUCUGUUAUAAGCUCCUCUCACAAGAAUAUGCAAGUUUACCCUCCAUUCAGUUUGCAGCCCUGUAAACUUACUCUGUCAGUUGGAAGCUUGCCACAGGUGAAACGGGAGGGAUUCAUCCUCAGUAUGUUGUCAGGUUCUCUGUGAGUGACAGCGCUGUCACCAUGGUAACUGAGACAGGACGGGUCAGAGGUGUGGCAGUGGGUGUGGUCAAACUCAGAGGAGCUCUUCAGACACAAGAUACAGAAGCAUUGAUUACCUUUUUACAGGAUGAAGUGGAGGUGGAGGUGUUCAACCUGACAGCAGUGAGGAUACAGGCUCCUUUAGUCACUCUAUGAACACCGUAUGAACAGAGAUGCCGGUUUAUGUGAUGGGGAGUUUCAGUGGUCAGAACCCUUUAUCUCUGGGUAGUGUUGACUCUGGCCUCAGUUUCCACUGGCGUCUACACAAAGCAGGUGUGCUGGAGAUCGAACCAAGGCAUGCAAAGUUUCUCUGCGCUGGUGAGGGCCAGAGCUCCAGGGAGGACCAGCCUCAAAGUGUGUGUGCAGCUCCAACAGAUAGACACCAGCAACACAUCACUCUCUGAUCUCACUGAUGAGAUACAGAUACUGGUGUUUGAAGAGAUGCAGUUAACAGCAGGAAGCCCAGGAUCCAUCCUCAUGUCUUCCCUCU
Molecule: long non-coding RNA, 2851 nt
Organism: Cyprinus carpio carpio
Lineage: Eukaryota; Metazoa; Chordata; Actinopteri; Cypriniformes; Cyprinidae
Source: Ensembl